RNAcentral lists this ribosomal RNA (526 nucleotides) under Helotiales sp. PRJ D1339. RNAcentral's name for it is "eukaryotic LSU rRNA". The stretch from base 178 to 331 matches the Rfam family "5.8S ribosomal RNA". The record is from RNAcentral. Lineage: Eukaryota; Fungi; Ascomycota; Leotiomycetes; Helotiales.
CUGCGGAAGGAUCAUUACCCGAGGGAGCGGGCAACCGCAAAUCUCCACCCGUGAAUACUGAUCACUGUUGCUUUAGCGGGCGGCUGGCCUGGCCAGCCUGGCUCCGGCUGGUCCAUGCCCGCUAGAGGCCCCCCAACUCUGGAUGUGAGUGUUGUCUGAGUGUGGUUAAAUCAUGAAAACUUUCAACAACGGAUCUCUUGGUUCCGGCAUCGAUGAAGAACGCAGCGAAAUGCGAUAAGUAAUAUGAAUUGCAGAAUUCAGUGAAUUAUCGAAUCUUUGAACGCACAUUGCGCCCCGUGGUAUUCCGCGGGGCAUGCCUGUUCGAGCGUCAUUAUAACCACUCCAGCCGGGCUGGGUCUUGGGCGCUGCCUCCGGGCGGGCCUUGAAUGCCGUGGCGGUGCGGCCAGGCCCUGAGCGUAGUACGUCUCUCGCUAUAGGGUCCUGGGCGUGGCCGGCCAGGAACCCCCCAUAGAUUCCAGGUUGACCUCGGAUCAGGUAGGGGAUACCCGCUGAACUUAAGCAUAUC